CCUACGGGAGACAGCAGUGAGGAAUAUUGGUCAAUGGACGAGAGUCUGAACCAGCCAAGUAGCGUGAAGGAUGACUGCCCUAUGGGUUGUAAACUUCUUUUAUAUGGGAAUAAAAUGUUCCACGUGUGUGAUUUUGUAUGUACCAUAUGAAUAAGGAUCGGCUAACUCCGUGCCAGCAGCCGCGGUAAUACGGAGGAUCCGAGCGUUAUCCGGAUUUAUUGGGUUUAAAGGGAGCGUAGGUGGAUUGUUAAGUCAGUUGUGAAAGUUUGCGGCUCAACCGUAAAAUUGCAGUUGAAACUGGCAGUCUUGAGUACAGUAGAGGUGGGCGGAAUUCGUGGUGUAGCGGUGAAAUGCUUAGAUAUCACGAAGAACUCCGAUUGCGAAGGCAGUUCACUGGACUGCAACUGACACUGAGGCUCGAAAGUGUGGGUAUCAAACAGGAUUAGAUACCCUAGUAGUC
Molecule: ribosomal RNA, 460 nt
Filed under: uncultured bacterium
Lineage: Bacteria
Description: partial 16S ribosomal RNA
Rfam family: Bacterial small subunit ribosomal RNA
Source: RNAcentral